CAAACAUCAACAGUGUCACCACCCUCAAACGGAUUACCACUUUCCCUAAUCAGAAGCCAUGGAUGAACAGUGAGAUGGAUGAAUAUGUGAAAAGUAAACUGACAGAGAGGAAUCUUGAGGAGUUAAUUCCUACAUUUGAAGCCGAGAAGAUUGAUCAAGAAACUCUGCUCCUUCUAGAUGACAUCACUCUAACCUCUCUUAUCCCUGUUAUUGGACUUCAUCUAAAAUUCCAGAAGUACUUCAAGAAGGUGCUUGACGUAACUUGAAACAAGCGUUG
Xyrauchen texanus (razorback sucker) is the source of this 277-nucleotide long non-coding RNA. RefSeq lists it as uncharacterized. The record is from RefSeq and is a predicted model, not a curated record. NCBI's taxonomy places the organism in Eukaryota, Metazoa, Chordata, Actinopteri, Cypriniformes, Catostomidae. The transcript has 3 exons.